Cinara cedri is the source of this 265-nucleotide non-coding RNA. The record is from the annotation of a GenBank genome assembly. NCBI's taxonomy places the organism in Eukaryota, Metazoa, Arthropoda, Insecta, Hemiptera, Aphididae.
UACAACCUUAUGGCUAAAAAAGAGGCAUGUCAGCUUAAAUUUCAUUUUUGCUAUUGUCACGCAUAGUCCUCACCUUCGAACGCUUCUGAUUGGUCGUCAGUGGGAAUAUUAACUACAUGGUCUGGAAAACAUUUCAUUUGCAGUGUAAUCUAACUUUCAGCUAACAUGCUUGUUUAGUUAUAGCCAUGUACGACCUACUUAUCCCGCUUUCUAUAUAAUCGCACGAUUUAGAAUAAAAUCAAUUAAAUUUAAUGGGAUAUUUGCU